Molecule: ribosomal RNA, 253 nt
Filed under: uncultured bacterium
Lineage: Bacteria
Description: partial 16S ribosomal RNA
Rfam family: Bacterial small subunit ribosomal RNA
Source: RNAcentral
UACGGAGGGUGCAAGCGUUAUCCGGAUUCACUGGGUUUAAAGGGUGCGUAGGUGGGCAGGUAAGUCAGUGGUGAAAUCUCCGAGCUUAACUCGGAAACUGCCGUUGAUACUAUUUGUCUUGAAUAUUGUGGAGGUAAGCGGAAUAUGUCAUGUAGCGGUGAAAUGCUUAGAUAUGACAUAGAACACCGAUUGCGAAGGCAGCUCACUACGCGAUUAUUGACACUGAGGCACGAAAGCGUGGGGAUCAAACAGG